UGCUGAGUUCUUCCUUCCUCUUCCUCAUCCUCUGGGCUCGCUCUCUCCACUCCUGCAGUGCCCUUUUCUCUCUGGAGAAAGAGAAGGUUAAUGUCAUAAGUUGCAGGCAGCUUCGAGCCAAGGCUACAGGAUUUCUCUGUCAUUUUACAGCUUGUGGUGCACCUGUCUCCAGGGGGCACAGGCUGGGGGCAUGCAUGCCCUCUGGGUGGGAGUCUGAAUCACAGCCUCUUCCUCCGGGCACAUCUGGGCAGAGCCGGGAAUGCCGGGUUCUAUCCCGAGGCCCUGUGUGUCGGUGCUGCCAGCAGUGACUGACGCUGGGGGCCAACCCCACCCAGUGACCAAGGAAAAGGCAUCAGGACCCCUUUCAGAUCCGGCCUCCUCUUGUCUCUCCCAUCAUCAUCCUGGAUGCCUGGGCCGCAGUCCGGAUUUUCCUCGACGCCUCCACCUGACAUCUGCUCUCCUUCCUUGCGGUCACAGCAGCUCAACCCUUCUGGGCUCUACCCGGCCCACAGCCCACCUCUGACCACCUUCCUGCUGAGGGCUCCAUCCUGAGUCAGUGCUGCCUGGGAUCAGAGCCUGGCUGCGUCCUCUCCCGGUGCCACCUCAGGGCACAGGUGGUCUCAGCAGCUACCUCAGCCUCUGCAGAGCCUGUUUCCUAAGGACCCUUGUCCUGGGUGUGAAAAGAAAAUAAAAUCUCGGCCCCCAAACUCACUGUGCCAAAGGCAAAGGUAAAAUGUGGAUUCAGUGAGCACUGAUCGAAGCCUCACAAGAAUGUGGCCACUUGGUUCACCGCCUGCCCCCACUUUUACUAUUCUUUCCUCCUUUCCCUGCUGCCCAUUCUUUCUCCUUUAAACGCUGACAUCCUCAAAGCUCUCUCUGGAGAAAGCACAGGCCACAGAUCUUACUGUCACUUAUGUCUCUUUUCCCCGGGCGCAUCCUCAACCUUGGCAAACUCAGCCUCUGAAUGGACUGAGCUCUGCCACAGAUGCUCUGGGCUUGAUGCGGAUCCCCGUUACCCUAAACCUGGGACCGGCACUCGCUGCACAGUAAACGGUGGCAAUGUGGAGGGACACUUUAAAAGCUGGACCUGAUGUUUUAAAAGAUAAUUUAAAAUAAUUGUACAAAUUCGCAAAGAUCAAGAAAAUCCCCCGUUGCUUUUAAGUUUUACCUGAAAACCUGUCUUGGCUU
Long non-coding RNA from Pongo pygmaeus (Bornean orangutan), 1188 nucleotides. RefSeq lists it as uncharacterized. NCBI's taxonomy places the organism in Eukaryota, Metazoa, Chordata, Mammalia, Primates, Hominidae. The record is from RefSeq and is a predicted model, not a curated record. The transcript has 4 exons.